Long non-coding RNA from Fukomys damarensis (Damara mole-rat), 938 nucleotides. RefSeq lists it as uncharacterized. NCBI's taxonomy places the organism in Eukaryota, Metazoa, Chordata, Mammalia, Rodentia, Bathyergidae. The record is from RefSeq and is a predicted model, not a curated record. The transcript is spliced from 5 exons.
CUUUUGGUGGAGAAAUAGAGAUUUCCUGUAUCUAAUACAGGCUUUGUGAUUCCUCCUUUAAAUCAUCUUCCUGGUCCCCAUGUGUAUGUAUGCCUGUGGCUCUUCUGAGGAGGGACCUGUCCAGCAAGGGUGGGCCAAGGACAGAUGUACAGUUAGAGUGGUCAACAUGUUUAUUGUAUGGAGAUGUGUAAAAUAAGUUUCAAAGCUUUGUCAGAGCCUCAUUAUGAUCUCAAAUCCAUUAGAAUUCAAGACUAAGAUAAAUAAUUGUCCUUGGUGAUAUAAUUAUAUACUGAUGGUAUAAUCUGGGGUAGAAGAAUUACCUGGAGCUCGCAGGAGUUGAUAAAUUGCUUGUGAAAGGGGAUUGAACUGCAGUGCUUCACAAUUAUAGAUAGUUUCCUCCCACCAGCCCCAUUGAUGAUUCCAUUGUUUUCAGGUCUGUGACAUUAAGAAUGAAUAGUGAAUUGUAUAUUUAAUCUGUUUUUUUUCUUUCCUCUACCGCCUCUGUUUGCAGCUCAUUUAUAAUAGCUUUGCUCGGUUCCUAGUCAAGGAGAAAGGAUACAAUAAGGAAUUGCUCACUGUGACUCCAGAGGACUGGGAUUUCUGUUGCAAGGGUUUGGCAUUGGAUCUGGAAGAUGGAACCUUCAUUAAACUUGCAGAGAAUGGCACUGUGCUCAGGGCAAGUCGUGGCACCAAGAUGAUGACUCCAGACACGCUGGCCGAGGCAUAUGGGAAGAAGGAGUGGAAGUACUUCGUGUCUAACACUGGCAUGCCCAGCCACCCAGGAAAAUAUUAUUUUUAUGAUAACUAUUUUGACCUGCCAGGAGCUCUGUUAUGUGCUAGAGUGGUGGAUUCUUUGACAAAGAACAGUGGUCAAAAAACAUUUGAUUUUUGGAAGGAUAUAGUUGCUGGUAUUCAACACAAUUUUAAAAUGUCAGCUU